Molecule: ribosomal RNA, 255 nt
Filed under: uncultured bacterium
Lineage: Bacteria
Description: partial 16S ribosomal RNA
Rfam family: Bacterial small subunit ribosomal RNA
Source: RNAcentral
UACGUAGGGUCCGAGCGUUGUCCGGAAUUACUGGGCGUAAAGAGCUCGUAGGUGGUUUGUCGCGUUGUUCGUGAAAACUCACAGCUCAACUGUGGGCGUGCGGGCGAUACGGGCAGACUAGAGUACUGCAGGGGAGACUGGAAUUCCUGGUGUAGCGGUGGAAUGCGCAGAUAUCAGGAGGAACACCGGUGGCGAAAGCGCGUACUGGGUCAUAACUGACGCUGAGGAACGAAAAGCCAGGGUAGGCAAAAAAGG